RNAcentral lists this unclassified non-coding RNA (402 nucleotides) under soil metagenome. Its description in RNAcentral is "partial contains 5.8S ribosomal RNA, internal transcribed spacer 2, and large subunit ribosomal RNA". The stretch from base 1 to 121 matches the Rfam family "5.8S ribosomal RNA", at positions 35 to 154 of the family's 154-position model. The record is from RNAcentral.
GAUGAAGAACGCAGCGAAAUGCGAUAAGUAAUGUGAAUUGCAGAAUUCAGUGAAUCAUCGAAUCUUUGAACGCACCUUGCACCCUUUGGCUAUUCCGAAGGGUAUACCUGUUUGAGUAUCAUGAACACCUCAACUCUCAUGGUUUGCCAUGAUGAGCUUGGACUUUGGGGGUCUUGCUGGCCUGUGGUCAGCUCCUCUCAAAUGGAUUAGCUUGCCAGUGUUUGGUGGCAUCACAGGUGUGAUAACUAUCUACGCUUGUGGUUUUCCACCAGGUAACCUUCAGCAAUGGGGGUUCGCUGGGGCUCAUAAAUGUCUCUCCUCAGUGAGGACAGCUCUUUGAACGUUUGAUCUCAAAUCAGGUAGGACUACCCGCUGAACUUAAGCAUAUCAAUAAGCGGAGGA